Molecule: ribosomal RNA, 348 nt
Filed under: uncultured bacterium
Lineage: Bacteria
Description: partial 16S ribosomal RNA
Rfam family: Bacterial small subunit ribosomal RNA
Source: RNAcentral
CCUACGGGUGGCAGCAGUAGGGAAUAUUCGGCAAUGGGGGGAACCCUGAACGAGCCAAGCCGCGUGAACGAAGAAGGUAUUCGGAAUGUAAAGUUCUUUUAACAGGGAAGAAAGAGAAAUUUGACGGUCCCUGAAGAGUAAGCUCCGGCAAACUACGUGCCAGCAGCCGCGGUAAUACGUAGGGGGCGAGCGUUAUCCGGAAUUAUUGGUCGUAAAGGGUGCGUUGAUGGCAUAGUAAGUCGUUUGUAAAAAUGCGGGGCUCAACCCAGUAGGGCAAAAGAUACUGCAAAGCUAGAGUAUGAGAGAGGCAAGUGGAAGUAGAGGUGUAGCGGUAAAAUGCGUAGAUAU